AGAGUUUGAUCCUGGCUCAGGAUGAACGCUAGCGGCAGGCUUAACACAUGCAAGUCGAGGGGCAGCACGGGUAGCAAUACCUGGUGGCGACCGGCGCAAGGGGGCGUAACGCGUGUGUAAUCUACCAUUAACCGGGGAAUAGCCCAGAGAAAUCUGGAUUAAUGCCCCAUAGUAUUAUCGAAAGGCAUCUUUUGAUAAUUAAAGCUCAGGCGGUUUUUGAUGAACAUGCGUGUCAUUAGUUUGUUGGUGAGGUAACGGCUCACCAAGACUACGAUGACUAGGGGGUCUGAGAGGAUGAUCCCCCACACUGGUACUGAGACACGGACCAGACUCCUACGGGAGGCAGCAGUAAGGAAUAUUGGGCAAUGGAUGGAAAUCUGAUCCAGCCAUGCCGCGUGAAGGAAGAAUGUCCUAUGGAUUGUAAACUUCUUUUGUACGGGAAUAACCCUCCGAACGUGUUCGGAGCUGAAGGUACCGUAAGAAUAAGGAUCGGCUAACUCCGUGCCAGCAGCCGCGGUAAUACGGAGGAUCCAAGCGUUAUCCGGAUUUACUGGGUUUAAAGGGUGCGUAGGCGGAUUGAUAAGUCAGUGGUGAAAGCCUGCAGCUUAACUGCAGAACUGCCAUUGGAUAUGCNNNAGCUGGAGUAUGGUUGAGGUAGCUGGAAUGUGUAGUGUAGCGGUGAAAUGCUUAGAUAUUACACAGAACACCAAUUGCGAAGGCAGCUUACUAAACUGAUACUGACGCUGAUGCACGAAAGCGUGGGGAGCGAACAGGAUUUAGAUACCCUGGUAGUCCACGCUGUAAACGAUGAUUACUCGUUGUGGGCGAUAUGGAGUCGGUGGCUAAGCGAAAGCGAUAAGUAAUCCACCUGGGGAGUACGUUCGCAAGAAUGAAACUCAAAGGAAUUGACGGGGCCCGCACAAGCGGAGGAGCAUGUGGUUUAAUUCGAUGAUACGCGAGGAACCUUACCUGGGCUCGAACNGAAUCUUGUGGAAACACGAGAGUGCCUCGCAAGAGGAGCCUGGUGACAGGUGCUGCAUGGUUGUCGUCAGCUCGUGCCGUGAGGUGUUAGGUUAAGUCCUGCAACGAGCGCAACCCUUACCUUUAGUUGCCAGCAUGUAAUGAUGGGGACUCUAAAGGAACUGCCUACGCAAGUAGUGAGGAAGGUGGGGAUGACGUCAAAUCAGCACGGCCCUUAUGUCCAGGGCGACACACGUGCUACAAUGGCCGAUACAAAGGGCAGCUACCAGGUGACUGGAUGCGAAUCUUUAAAAUCGGUCUCAGUUCGGAUCGGAGUCUGCAACUCGACUCCGUGAAGUCGGAUUCGCUAGUAAUCGCGCAUCAGCCAUGGCGCGGUGAAUACGUUCCCGGGCCUUGUACACACCGCCCGUCAAGCCAUGGAAGUUGGGGGUGCCUAAAGUUCGUGACCGCAAGGAGCGACCUAGGGUAAAACCAAUGACUGGGGCUAAGUCGUAACAAGGUAACC
This 1486-nucleotide ribosomal RNA is filed under the name uncultured bacterium. RNAcentral describes it as "16S ribosomal RNA". It matches the Rfam family "Bacterial small subunit ribosomal RNA". The record is from RNAcentral.